Molecule: long non-coding RNA, 1606 nt
Organism: Oncorhynchus tshawytscha (Chinook salmon)
Lineage: Eukaryota; Metazoa; Chordata; Actinopteri; Salmoniformes; Salmonidae
Source: Ensembl
GCAUUACACACUCCUGCCACCAUCAGUACGCACACCUGCCUUUCCCCGUCACGCGCAUCAGCGUAUUAUUGGACUUAAUCACCUGUUCAUUACCUCCCCUAUAUUUGUCAGUUCCCCAUCUAUGUUUCCUGCUGUUGCAUUAAUGUUCGUAUGUCGUUACCCGUGUGCUGAUGUAACAGUAUAACUUUAGACCGUCCCCUCGCCCAUACCCGGGCGCAAACCAGGGGCCCUCUGCACACAUCAACAACUGUCACCCACGAAGCGUCACCCAAGCCACGGCCCUUGCAGAGCAAGGGGAACUACUACUUCAAGGUCUCAGAGCAAGUGACGUCACCGAUUGAAACGCUAUUUAGCGCGCACCCUAACUCGUCUAGCCGUUUCACAUCCGUUACACUGACGCUGUUCCUGUCUUGUUACCGGUCUGUUCCGCAUUAAAUGUUCAACUCCCCGUACCUGCUUCUCAUCUCCAGCGUCGGUCCUUAUAGGAUGGCCAUCCUGCUAACUGAUUUAAGUGUCAGAGCUUCCGGCGACGGUCCACAGUCCGGAGCCUCCAGCGAGGGCUUCCAGGAGAGGCGUCCAGUCCAGCUCCAUGGCAGGAGCCUUCCUCUGCGCGGUGGCCAGUCCAGGCACAGUGUUCAGUCCAGCUCCAUGGCAGGAGCCUUCCUCUGUGCCGGUGCCCAGUCCAGGCACAGUGUUCAGUCCAGCUCCAUGGCAGGAGCCUUCCUCUGCGCCAGUGCCCAGUCCAGGCACGGUGUCCAGUCCAGCUCCAUGGCAGGAGCCUUCCUCUGUGCCGGUGCCCAGUCCAGGCACAGUGUUCAGUCCAGCUCCAUGGCAGGAGCCUUCCUCUGCGCCGGUGCCCAGUCCAGGUACGGUGUCCAGUCCAGCUCCAGGGCAGGAGCCUUCCUUUGCGCCGGUGCCCAGUCCAGGCACAUUGUCCAGUCCAGCUCCAGGGCAGGAGACUUCCUCUGCGCCGGGGCCCAGUCCGGGAACGGUGUCCAGUCCAGCUCCAUGGCCGGAGCCUUCCUCAGCGCCGGUAUCCAGUCCGGGCACAGUGACCAGCCCAGCUCCAAGGCGAGAGCCUUCCUCUGCGCCGAUGCCCAGUCCAGGCACGCUGGCCAGCCCGGGUCCAUGGCUGGAUCCGCGGGAUGAGCGGGUUCUUCGUCCCGCACCAGAGCCGCCCCGGACACUAGAUGCCCACCCGGACCCUCCCCUAUAGAGUCAGUUUUUGCGGCCGGAGUCCACACCUUUGAGGGGGGGUACUGUCACGCCCUGACCAUAGAGAGCCUUUUUAUUCUCUAUUUUGGUUAGGUCGGGGUAUGACUAGGGUGGGUAAUCUAUAGGUUGUUUAUUUCUAUGUUGGCCUGGUAUGGUACCCAAUCAGAAGCAGCUGUUUUUCUUUGUCUCUGAUUGGGGAUCAUAUUUAGGCAGCCAUUUCCCCACUGUGUUUUGUGGGAUCUUGUUUAUGUGUAGUUGCCUGUGAGCACUUAAUUUACUUCACGUUUUGUUCGUUCUUUAUUGUUUUUGGGAGUUUCAUUCAAUAAACAUGUGGAACCCAUAUCACGCUGCGCUUUGGUCCAAAUGUUAUUACGACGAUCGUGACAAGUAG